GCAUAGAUAUGACACAGAACACCGAUAGCGAAGGCAGCUCACUAAGCUGUGACUGACGCUCAUGCACGAAAGCGUGGGGAGCAAACAGGAUUAGAUACCCUGGUAGUCCACGCUGUAAACGAUGAUCACUCGCUGUUGGCGAUAUACAGUCAGCGGCUAAGCGAAAGUAUUAAGUGAUCCACCUGGGGAGUACGAUCGCAAGGUUGAAACUCAAAGGAAUUGACGGGGGCCCGCACAAGCGGAGGAGCAUGUGGUUUAAUUCGAUGAUACGCGAGGAACCUUACCUGGGCUUAAAUGUUGGACGAUCGUUCCGGAAACGGGACUUUCCUUUUGGACGUCCAGCAAGGUGCUGCAUGGUUGUCGUCAGCUCGUGCCGUGAGGUGUCGGGUUAAGUCCCAUAACGAGCGCAACCCCUAUUCUUAGUUGCCAUCAGGUAAUGCUGGGGACUCUAAGAAAACUGCCUACGCAAGUAGUGAGGAGGGUGGGGAUGACGUCAAAUCAGCACGGCCCUUAUGUCCAGGGCUACACACGUGCUACAAUGGUCGGUACAGAGGGCAGCUAUAUGGUGACAUAGUGCUAAUCUCGAAAAUCGGCCUCAGUUCGGAUCGAAGUCUGCAACUCGACUUCGUGAAGCUGGAUUCGCUAGUAAUCGCGCAUCAGCCAUGGCGCGGUGAAUACGUUCCCGGGCCUUGUACACACCGCCCGUCAAGCCAUGGAAGUUGGGGGUACCUAAAGUCCGUUACCGCAAGGAGCGGCCU
This 758-nucleotide ribosomal RNA is filed under the name uncultured organism. RNAcentral's name for it is "bacterial SSU rRNA". It matches the Rfam family "Bacterial small subunit ribosomal RNA", at positions 688 to 1458 of the family's 1533-position model. The record is from RNAcentral.